UCACAUUUCCCAAUUAACAGGAAGGCGAGCUGGGUGUUGGAGUCGGCCCUGGUCAUAUCAAGCUCUCUCUUGGUUCCUUCCCAAUCAAACUUUCUUUCUUUUGGUGCUCCUCCUAUACCCUUUGAUCGCUUUCCAAACGUUUCGGGCUUCUAAGGCACGCCACUGGUCCUCUGGUUCAAGGGUUUCCACCAGAGAGUUUCUACUGAGAGAGAGAGAGAGAGAGAGAGAGAGAGAGCAGGGGAGGUGCUGGCCAGGAGGGUCCCCCUCCGGUCUACCCCUCUUCUGUGUGUUAAAAAAUAAUGUGUUAGUCAUUUUAUUGAUCUUUUUAAGAAAUAAUUUGAUGGCGUUACAUGCUACCUCGGCAAUUUGUAACGGCCAACUAAAGGGGGACUAUUUUAUCUUGCGGAAUGAACAUUCAAGGACCAUUGUGUUGGCAAAACUCUUUUGGGGACUAAAGUGAUGGCCGACAAAUCUUUUGAGGACCAAACUGACAGUUUGCUCUAAUAUCUUCUUCACUCUUAGGUACAUUAUCGCGAGCACAAAAAUUUGCCAUGGGCUCUACAACUACAACUAGCUUCAUCCUGUUAGGACGGGUUGCAUGCUGUCUAUGGUGGAGAAGAGCAAAACAACACGUUAUAUAUUGUGACUGAGUUAUGACAAAGAAAUACGUGCAUAAUGGUUUGUAGUAUUAUCUACUUGGCUUUGCUAUUGUUGCUUUAUGGAUGUAACUUCCUAUGUUUCUACAAGGAACUUAUUUUUAAGCCAUCAUUUUGCAAAUAUAUCCCAUCUCUAGGAACCUUAUUCAGGAUUCCAGGGCUCGUUUAUUCAUCAGAUGGGAUUGACACCCAAGGAGGUGCACCCCAGAUCUUCAACUUUCAUAACAUAUAAGCUGCUACGAAUAAUUUCGGCAUCAUCAAUAAACUUGGGCAAGGCGGUUUUGGUCCCGUCUACAAGUUAUAGUGCAAUUGUUUGCUAUCAAAAGUAGAAAUAAAUAGCAGAAACGUCAAAUCAUCUGUUGAUAACACUAAAUCUGUUAUUUUGGGAAAGUUGCAGGAUGGGAAGGAUGUCGUAGUAAAAAGACUUUCUAGCAGCUCGGGGCAAGGCACGGAGGAGUUCAAGAAUGAGAUCAUGUUAAUAUCGAAGCUUCAACAUAGAAACCUUGUCAAGCUUUUGGGUUACUGCAUUGAAGGAGACGAAAAGAUUUUAGUAUAGGAGUACUUGUCAAACAAAAGUUUGGAUACUUUCCUCUAUGAUUCAAAGAGGAAGGCAGAGCUCAACUGGGAAACACGCCUUCACAUCAUCAAGGGUGUUGCAAGGGGCCUUCUUUAUCUACACUGUGAUUCUUGCCUGCGAGUCAUACACAGAUCUGAAAGCAAGCAACAUUCUCCUUGAUGGAAACAUUAAUCCGAGUAUUUCAGACUUUGGGUUGGUGCGCAUGUUUCAUAGUACAAAAGAUCUAGUGAACACUCGGAGGGUUGUGGGAACGCUGUAAGGAUGACUUUGGUCUUCCCAUGAACCUAGUAACAAGUUACAUAUCACAGUAUGAGUGACUUUUCUUGAAAUACAGGGGAUAUAUGGCUCCUGAGUAUGCUAUGGGUGGGAUAUUUUCUGAGAAGUCCGAUGUCUACAGCUUCGGAGUUUUGCUGUUACAGAUUGUUAGCAGCUGCAAGAACAUGAGCUUUUACUACCUCGGCGAGCACCUCAACUUCCUGCUUACGCAUGGAAAUUUUCGGAGGAAGUUAGGGGACUGGAGUUGAUCAAUGAAGCAAUACUGGUGGAUUCUGCCUUAUUAUCAUUAGAGGUAAUGAAGAAAAUGCAUACAGAUUGGGCUUCUAUUCGUCCAGUACCAUGCUGCAGAUAGACCAAACAUGUCCUCAGUUGUUUCUGAUGCUGAGGGGUGAAUCUGAUCCUGCACAACCGAAAGAUCCCAUGUUUACCUUUCAAAGCACCCCUGAACAUAAAAAUCCACUACAACAUGACAGCAUAUUGUCCAUAAACACGGUCACCAACUCCUCACUAGUUGAGGGACGAUAGAUUAUUGGUAAGUUUCGAUUGCCUUUUAUUGGUCUGUAAUUGUCGAACAAACUCGUUUGCUGUAGGGUCAUACAAAAUGGUAAUGCAAGAAUUAUGGCUGACCUAGAAAUAGAAGGAUUCCUGUGCCAUCACUGAUUUUGUAAUUGCAUAUUCCG
Molecule: non-coding RNA, 2189 nt
Organism: Punica granatum (pomegranate)
Lineage: Eukaryota; Viridiplantae; Streptophyta; Magnoliopsida; Myrtales; Lythraceae
Source: RefSeq, a predicted model, not a curated record